CCCUUAGAUGUUCUGGGCCGCACGCGCGCUACACUGAUGCAUUCAACGAGUGUACCUUGGCCGAGAGGCCUGGGCAAUCUUUUGAACGUGCAUCGUGAUAGGGAUAGAUUAUUGCAAUUAUUAAUCUUGAACGAGGAAUUCCUAGUAAACGCAGAUCAUCAAUCUGCAUUGAUUACGUCCCUGCCCUUUGUACACACCGCCCGUCGCACCUACCGAUUGAAUGGUCCGGUGAAGCCUCGGGAUUGUGGUUAGUUUCCUUCAUUGGAAGUUAGCCGCGAGAACUUGUCUAAACCUUAUCAUUUAGAGGAAGGUGAAGUCGUAACA
RNAcentral lists this ribosomal RNA (324 nucleotides) under uncultured eukaryote. RNAcentral's name for it is "partial 18S ribosomal RNA". It matches the Rfam family "Eukaryotic small subunit ribosomal RNA", at positions 1470 to 1796 of the family's 1831-position model. The record is from RNAcentral.